This 257-nucleotide unclassified non-coding RNA is filed under the name Hevea brasiliensis (rubber tree). Lineage: Eukaryota; Viridiplantae; Streptophyta; Magnoliopsida; Malpighiales; Euphorbiaceae. The record is from RNAcentral.
CCCCCCUAGAUUCUACCCUUCCAUCCAAUCCACUACCAGCGCUCCCUGCGCCACCGCAGCCUUCCACCAAUCCACGCCGUCUCCCACCACCAUGUUGGUCCCACGACGAGACGGUCGCCCUGAUCGAUGCCUACUGCGACAAGUGGUACACGCUCCGUCGUGGUAACCUCAAGGCCAAUCACUGGCAAGAAGUCGCUGAAGCCGUUGCUCGCCGAUGCCCAGCUGCGUCCCCGCCGAAGACCGCCGUGCAGUGCCGC